RNAcentral lists this RNase P RNA (360 nucleotides) under Micromonospora sp. CNZ299. Its description in RNAcentral is "Bacterial RNase P class A". It matches the Rfam family "Bacterial RNase P class A". Rfam says of the family: Ribonuclease P (RNase P) is a ubiquitous endoribonuclease, found in archaea, bacteria and eukarya as well as chloroplasts and mitochondria. Lineage: Bacteria; Bacillati; Actinomycetota; Actinomycetes; Micromonosporales; Micromonosporaceae. The record is from RNAcentral.
AAUGCCAGCCAGGCGACCGCGUCGGCCACCAGGCCGCCGAGGAACGUACGGGCUCCGCAGGGCAAGGUGGUUCCUAACGGGAACCCGGCGAAAGCCGCGGGACAGUGCCACAGAGAACAGACCGCCCGCAGCACGACCGCCGGUAAGGGUGAAACGGUGGGGUAAGAGCCCACCGCGUCCUCGGUGACGGGGGCGGCACGGUAAACCCCACCCGGAGCAAGGCCGAACAGCACGCGGGCGGCCCGCCUGAUGCGUGCGGGUUGGCCGCUAGAGCCUGCCCGGCGACGGUAGGCCGAGAUGGAUGGUCGCCCCCACCCUGUCGGGGUGGGACAGAACCCGGCGUACCGGUCGGCUUCCCUC